Molecule: long non-coding RNA, 1502 nt
Organism: Xenia sp. Carnegie-2017
Lineage: Eukaryota; Metazoa; Cnidaria; Anthozoa; Malacalcyonacea; Xeniidae
Exons: 5
Source: RefSeq, a predicted model, not a curated record
CAUUUUGAAUAUUUGCAAUCAGCAAAGGUCUGGGACGUCUUAGUCACGGCAAGAAGCGCAGAUGGGAAAGUAUACAAAAUAAUACAUAAAUAGAGCAAACAAAUGUGAAAUUCGUCGAGAUCUAAAGCGAAAUGAUAACCAGAAGUAUGAUAGCUCUUUGCUGAUGCUUUUGAAGUAAAUGAUGAGCACAAGCACACAGAUGUUGAUAUUGAGCACUUUUGGAGAAAGGGAAUUCCAGGAAAUGGACUGAUCUUGUGGAAGAGCUUCAUUCUCUUUGUGAAAAUAACAGAUCUUCCAUAUUCACACCUUGAAUCAAUGCGAAUGAGUUAAUAAAGGCACACCAUACUUCAAUUGCUUGGAAUCUCCAUGCAGGCUUGAUAAAUUUCGUCAGUGUGGUAGGAAUUGGCCAGUCUGUGUUGAUUGUGAUUGGAAAUUUCACAAAGAAAAGUCAUUCCAUGAUAGACAUGGUUGGAUGGGUAAUCAUUUCAAUCAUCACAUUCACAUUUGAUAAAACUAGCCAAAUAACUGAAGUUGAUUGCUAUGUUUCUUUGCAUCCUGUCCAAAAGUUUUGUCAUGGCUGCUCUAGAAAAUCAACCUUUCACUCUGUGCCCAGUAAGGAUAUGCUGACUAUUUGUACAACACGAGAAUGCCGACGCUUGCGAAUAUUCUUGGUAUUGGCUAGUGGACAGCAAAUUCAAGUCUUUAAAUAUGUUAUUUUUACAAGAUUUACUUUUGCUGCUGAACAAGAUGCAAAAAAGAAAGGCAGGAUGUUCCGAGUCCAUUUUUGUUAGAUUCAUAGAAGACAUCAGUGUAUCUAAAGGAAGGGUACGUAUAUAAAUAUUUUGUGUGUAAGCCACAUUAGUAAGUGUAAAUUCUCAUCAUUUUACAUAGUUUGUUUUUUUUUGUGUGUAAAGCAAUUACCAUUGUCACUAGUGUUAUGAAAAAACCUCUUCACGUACUUAGCCGAAGAAGAGUAAUUGUACGUUUUGACCUCCUCAGUAUUCGAUACCUCUUUGUUGGCAUCAAAUGUAAACAUUCCGUCUGUUGAGACUGAAGACUUUCUUUCUGCCCGUAAGAGGGUCAACUCACUUACUGCCAAGCUUUGUCGUGAUAUACGUAACUGUCGAUGUACUGCUUGAUAUAGAGUACAAAAGUCAUUUUUGGAAAGUGCCUUAUAGUGUGUUAAGAAUGAACUUGAAAUGUUGUCUUUUGUCACAGUACAAAGGAAAGCAAGCAUUGUAAAAUUGGGAAGUAUGUUGUUACACUUACGUAUAUUAGCUACUACAUAAGACGAGCACACUUGUUACAUACGUAGCAAGAAUCCAUACUGAAGUCAUUACAAAUCUAAGGCAAAAAUACAUUAUUUCUUAUUUAGUAUACGUUCUUAAAAGCAUGAACUAAGAUAAGUCAGAAGAUGUUACUUAAACGUAACGUUAUAUAAAAUAUUAUAUAGAAAAUUAUUUUGGACUGAAAUGUAAAAUUGUCGACAAGUUCGAACAUAU